This 482-nucleotide ribosomal RNA is filed under the name uncultured bacterium. RNAcentral's name for it is "bacterial SSU rRNA". It matches the Rfam family "Bacterial small subunit ribosomal RNA", at positions 40 to 518 of the family's 1533-position model. The record is from RNAcentral.
CGGCGCGGUUUUAAGCAUGCAAGUCGAGCGGUAGUAGCAAUACGAGAGCGGCGGACGGGUGAGUAACACGUGGGUAAUCUGCCCUUCGGCGGGAAUAGCCUGUGGAAACACAGGAUAAUACCGGAUGCGAUGGUCUUCACACAAGUGGAGGUCAGGAAGGAGCCAAGGCUCCGCCGGAGGAUGAGCCCGCGUCCCAUUAGCUAGAUGGUGAGGUAAAGGCCCACCAUGGCGAUGAUGGGUAGCCGGCCUGAGAGGGUGAACGGCCACAUUGGAACUGAGACACGGUCCAGACUCCUACGGGAGGCAGCAGCUAAGAAUCUUCCACAAUGGACGAAAGUCUGAUGGAGCGACGCCGCGUGGGCGAAUGAAGGCCGUGAGGUUGUAAAGCCCUUUUCUUGAGGGGGAAUAAUGCGGGCAGGGAAUGGCCUGCAGAUGACGUGAAUCAAGGAAUAAGCCCCGGCUAACUACGUGCCAGCCGCGGC